RNAcentral lists this long non-coding RNA (13786 nucleotides) under Triticum aestivum (bread wheat). Its description in RNAcentral is "long non-coding RNA (TAES_LNC017331)". Lineage: Eukaryota; Viridiplantae; Streptophyta; Magnoliopsida; Poales; Poaceae. The record is from RNAcentral.
UGAUCUCGCCACCUCCAUGCCGAAAGAAGGGUGGCUUGGAUUCCUGCAAAGAUUGAGAUUUGAUAAUGCUUUGAUUUUCUUCCUAGACGCUGCUCUUUUUUAAGAUUCAAGGUCGAGUCAGUGUGCUAGUUUGGUUUAGUAGCGGGAGUGAGUCGGGACAGAGGAAAAUGUGGUGUGUGUCAGUCGGUUGGUGCUUGUCGUAUUUCUUGGAUGUUACCGUUAAAUAAUAGGAACGGCCUUGGUGCCGUUUCUGAAAUAAUAAUAGUAGCAUCCAUCCUCGUUUCCAAGAAAAUCUUUGUCACUGCUGCUGAGCUCUGUUACCUAAUACAAUUACUAGAAGGUGGGAUAAAGAGCUUUUGCCACUUCAGUUAACCAAAUGAGCAUUGUUACUUUAGUCUUAGUCACUCCACUAACUUAGUCCUGGUUUCUAUGUGAUUGUCAAUGGUGUCUAAUGCAAUAUAUAUGAAUCCGACAAGAUUUCACUUGUUUCACAUAUGAAAUUGUAGUUAAAACUAGUGCCCAGAAAUUCAAGUUCGCUGGUAAAAUUAAGUUCUGGAACUCGCACCCUCUAUGUAGUCUGAGCAAUUAGUCGAAGCUCAAUAGGUGUGUCAAGAACAUCCUAGGAGGAGGGGCCAUUUAUUGGUUAUAGCCGAUUGAGAGAGCUCUGUGAACCAAAAAUUCUUAAUACGAUUUAUGUGACCAAAAGAUAUCGAUUAAACACAAUCAGAACUGGACAAAAUGAUGUCUGUAAUCUGUCAACAAAUGUUUUACUUCCCUUUUUAGUAGCACAUUUUACUGCAUACGCAUUGGUGAACUGAGGGGUGAGGGUUCUGAAGCACCAAAACCAACAAAAUCAACUGACUGCUACACGAGUUCUUCCACAAGAACGCGAACUAAUCAGAAAAGGGGAGGAAUGAGGGAGACCUAAUUAAGCAGGGGUAGAGCAGGAGUGAGCCGUGCAGACCUUGCGACGGGUACGGCGCGCAGCGACGGCGGCCGCGCUCUUCCGUUGCGGCGGCCAUGGUCGCCGGCGCGCCGCUCCGAGCUGGUGGCGGCGGCCAUUGUCAUUGCCAUCCAUCAACCGACUCGUCUAGCGGAGUAGCCAAUGGUAAGGUUGGGCCUUAUGGAAGCUCGAGCCCAUUUAGGACGGGGCUGUUCAAGUCAGUAGAGCCCAAGCAGCAAGCAGCCCAUCAAUGAAGCAGAGGAGGAGCCAUUGGAGGGGAGGAGAUGGAUCGACGGCAAUUCUUUUCCGUGUUUUUAAUUCUUUUCCUUUGUCGUUGGCGAGGGUGCUCCCGUGUAGCGCCCUAGUCCACUUUUAUGAGCCUUCUCCUCUCGCCACCAUCGAAGGAUGCCGUCAAGCAAAGCGUUCGCGGUUGACGACGGCGGCAGGACACAGUUUCCACAUCAGUUCGCGAUAACAACGAUGAAUUCAGCGGAGGCCUUCCGAUCUCUGAUUCACAGUAAUGGUAGGACUUUCCUGGUCGACGUCCCCUACCGGCGGAGUGAUGCAUCUUACCAGUUCCUGGCUGGAGAGCAUUUGCAGCCAUGCGUGGCGGCGUCGAUCCAACCGAUGCGGCCCGCUUCCAAGGAGUUCUUGUGCACGAUAGCUAUAUUUGUGACCGCAUGCUGAUUCGUCUCUACUGGGUUCAUAUAUUGGAGGUUCCUAGCGGUGCACUCUAGUAAUUGGUCAUUCCCUACUUAGUGUAGUAUGUGGAGUACUCGAGAUAUCCCGUGAAGGCGUAUGUGACGGCCGCUCUGGAGACUCUACUUCCGCUUGAUGUGGCUGUUUGAUCCUUGUCUGUAGUGCCCUAGGUGAAUGGAUAUUUUUUUUUGAAGAUGCGAAUGGAUAUAGUUGGUUCUACGUGGGCUGGUUAGAUUCUUAUCGUCAUGAGACAGGAAGGUCAUUGGCAUGGAUAGUAGGCAUUCCUAGGUCAUUUUUCUUUGCUGGUGAGUUACUGCCUAUUGCAAAAAGAAAACUAAUUUACCANNNNNNNNNNNNNNNNNNNNNNNNNNNNNNNNNNNNNNNNNNNNNNNNNNNNNNNNNNNNNNNNNNNNNNNNNNNNNNNNNNNNNNNNNNNNNNNNNNNNNNNNNNNNNNNNNNNNNNNNNNNNNNNNNNNNNNNNNNNNNNNNNNNNNNNNNNNNNNNNNNNNNNNNNNNNNNNNNNNNNNNNNNNNNNNNNNNNNNNNNNNNNNNNNNNNNNNNNNNNNNNNNNNNNNNNNNNNNNNNNNNNNNNNNNNNNNNNNNNNNNNNNNNNNNNNNNNNNNNNNNNNNNNNNNGCUUCAUCAAACCUUAACCCCUCUUUAAAUAUUUAUAUAAAUUUUUGAGUGGAUGGCUUUUUUGUCAGGGUUGGCAAGCAGCAUUGCUGUUAGGGUUGCUCAUAUUUAUAUAAGUCACGACUCACAAGUGCUACAAAUGGUGGCAACUACACUAUAUGUAGUUGAAUUAAACGACUGCCACAGUUGGCAUUAUGCGAUGUUUGUUGAAGAAAUUAUGAUGUCCGGGCCACAAACAUCAUUUAUCACUAUCUGGCCUCGAAUAUAUAACUAGUUUAUUCCCAUGCAGUAAGAUCACAUUUAGUUUCUAAGUGAGAAUAGCAUAGUGUGGAAAGUGAGUAACAAUGAAGAGCAGAGUAAAGGCACAGACGGUCAUGUAUCAUAUCCGGCCUGGCGGGAAUGGGAUGUAUUGGAAAUUUGAGUCUGAGUCAUUCUCCCAGACUUCGUUGGAAGAAAAAAAUGAUUAAGCUAGUAGCAUAGUCUGUAGUCUCUAGAAUGGGUCGUGUUGUCUACUGACCUCGAGCCCGAUUAGUAUCGUCCGGCUUGGUAAAUGUAGCUAAGCAGCAAGCAGCCGAUCCAACACAUUUUUUUUGCAAAAUAAUAUAUACUAGUUUUGAAGCCGCAACAGAUAAAGCNNNNNNNNNNNNNNNNNNNNNNNNNNNNNNNNNNNNNNNNNNNNNNNNNNNNNNNNNNNNNNNNNNNNNNNNNNNNNNNNNNNNNNNNNNNNNNNNNNNNNNNNNNNNNNNNNNNNNNNNNNNNNNNNNNNNNNNNNNNNNNNNNNNNNNNNNNNNNNNNNNNNNNNNNNNNNNNNNNNNNNNNNNNNNNNNNNNNNNNNNNNNNNNNNNNNNNNNNNNNNNNNNNNNNNNNNNNNNNNNNNNNNNNNNNNNNNNNNNNNNNNNNNNNNNNNNNNNNNNNNNNNNCACAUUCUCACCUGAAUCCGAGUUUCACCUCCUCCCCUUAUCAAUUCGUAUAUUCCCUGGUUGGUACUCAGUCCUGCGAUUGGCCUCGUGGGAACGAGAUUCAAAUUUUGGUGCUAAUUUCGUAUUCUCUCUCGCCUUGUUGUAAUUUUAAAACCCUAGAAGAGGUGAGACUAACAGUCUGAUUGAUUGAUUAAUUGAUCGACUAGGUUUUGCAAGGGCUAGAACGCUAGCAUGAGUAACUCUAGUUUGACUUGGUCAGAUAGCCUCGAUUAGAGUUUCUCAUGCCCUGUACAAUGAUCUGCAGAUCAAUCGAUGUAUUUUCGUGUGCCCUGUGAAAUUACUUAAUUUGUGUCUCUAAGUUCAGGCUAAUUCUUUUUAUUCGUACUGUAUUACUUCAUUCGUGUAAGUUCAGGCUAUGUUCAGCCAUCACUGCAGCCUGAGGCUCACCAGUUAACUGUUGAUUCCUCAAAAAGCCAACCUCUUAUCUAUACUUACUAGUACUUUAUACUGCCAAGCAAAAGGAUCGUUAGCAUUCCUCUCCCUGUUUAAUCUCAUAGCACAAUGAUAAAGUUAUCUUGUCCUGGCCAUGGGGAAGCACCAAAACCCAAUGGAACCAAUUAUUUUGUUUUUACGAGUUAUAUAAAAAAAAUUGAAUAGUUCCGUGGUUCCGGCAUAAUUGCCCUCAUGUAGGAUGGACGGGUGGCUAGGCAGGCUUGUUUAGGUUCGUGCCCAAUAUGGUCCCUUGUGUACUGAUUUGCCUCUCGCUGCAGCUGGCUCUGCAACUGCAAAACUGCGGGAUGUCUGCUCCAUGGUGGUAACACUCGCACAUCACUCAGUGUAGCUAGUUGUCUAUACUAUCGACCAAUAAUCAAUUGACUUGAUGAUGAUCGUGUUCAUUUCAGACACGCAAGUACACGGGGGAAUCCUUUUGGUGUCCUACUCACCUGUGUGAGUUUUACUCUUCUUGCACGAUGCUUGCUGUAGUAUCUUGGUAUUAAUAUUGGUCAAAUAAAAUACUUGUCCACUCUUAAGAGCUCAUGUUCAAACAAAUCUAAAAGUUUUGGGCAUCCAAGGUUCAUGCAAAUUUGCAUGCUCAUAUGGACAUCUGAGGAGUUCAUGCCAAAAAAAAAAAAUCCGGGUGCCCGAGAAACUUUGAGAAAGAAUAUAUUGUUCAGAGCCGAUUUUGUUUAUUUUGGUAGGAGCUCCUCAUAUGUCCAAACACCACGAAAUUUCGCAGGCUGCUAGCGCACAUGAGCAUCUUGGAUGCCUAAAAAUGCCAGAGUAUCUUUCGGAUGCUUUACUCUGUUAUUUUAAUUUACUGUUCACCUGGUGCAGACGAUCAGGAUUGUGUUCCUUUUACAUAGCUGCUACUAUAGUACACAACAUGCUUAAGUACACCUCAUGAUGUUUAAGUUUACCGAAUGUCUCUUGAUGUGGAUAAGUCUCUAACAUCAAGGUAACUAAACGUCAUAUAGUGAAACAAACUCUUAUUGGGAAAAAUACAGUACUGUAGACACACUUCAGCAAACCAUAUUCCAUAUCUAUGGAGUAGUUUGAUUUCACAAUGGAUUUUUUUGUCAUGGGUUGCUAGCAACUUUCCGCUUAGGGUUGCCCAUAUUUAUAUAUGUUAUGAGUGCUACAAAUGUCGACAACUAUGCUCUCACAAUAAAAUUAACAAUUAGAACAGCUGGCAUCAAUGUUUGGUGCAGCAAUUAUGGUGUCCGGGCUGCACAUAACAUUGAUCACUUUCUAACCUCCUAUAUAUAACUUGGUUAUUCUCUAUGUAGUAGGAUCACAUUUAAUUUGUAGAAGGAGAAUGGCAGAGUGUGGGAGGAGAGUAAUAAUAAGGAGCAUGGUAACUGGUACGGAUGUCGAGAAAACACAAUCCGAACAGGGAAUGUGAUGUAUUGGAAAUUUGAGUCGAGGAGAGUAACAAUGAGUAUGCAACAAGUGCUUGAUGCCCCCAAGCCAGUCGUCUGCAACCAGGGGCUCAGUAGAGGAGCUGAACGCAGGUUGCUUAAGGUGCAUGAACUCUUUGAGAAGGACGCGCGCAUUGUGCCCAUUGUGCUGAUGGUUUCCUAGAGUGAUGUUAAGCGUGAUAUAGGGAAUGCAGAUUAGGUAUCGGGUCCCUUUUUCUGCCAUGGCUGAUAGUCAAACAUAUAAGACACAUCGUGUCAGUAGAAGAAUAUGUAUUGGACACAAGCCGGUGACUAUAGGAGGCCGACAGAACAAGCACGCAGAUGUACUUUAAUUUACAGUUCCUGAAUUCGGUGACUAAUACUACCUUCAUCCUGGUUUACUAGUCCCCCUCAUAGUUUUGAAGCUACAUUCAAAUAUGAAUUCAACAAUAUAAUUUUUGAUAACACGCAUUAAUAUUUUCAAAUUUGGUUUAGUAGUGGGAGUUAGUUGAGACAGGAACAUGUGGUGUGUGCCAGUUGGUUGGUGCUUGUCGUAUUUCUACCGUUGAAUAAUAGGAAUGGCCUUGGAGCCGUUUCCAAAAUAAUAAAAGUAGCAUCCUUCCUCUUUGCCAAGAAAAUCUGUGUCACUGCCUCUGAGCUCUAUAACCUCUAUUACCUAAUAAAUUUUCUAGAUGGUGGGACAAAAAGCUUUUGCCACUCCCUAUGUACCAAAAUCACUUGUUUAGAAUCAAAAUAUGUCUAGAUACAUCCAUUUCUCCGACAAGUAUUUCUGAACAGAGGGAGUACUUUAUUGUUAACCAAAGGAGCAACAAGUUUUCGCUUCUCUUCACAUGUGAAUUGUAGUUGAAACUGGUGGCUAGAAAUUCGAGUUCACUGGUAAAUUAAAGUUGUGGAACACGCACAGUCACAACAAUUAGUCGAAGCUCAAUAGGUGUGCUAAGAACAGCCUAGGAGGAGGGGCCAUUUAUUGGUUAUAGCCGAUUGACAGAGCUCGCUGUGAACCAAGCCAUCUUAAUAUGAUUUUUGUGACCAAAAAAUGUUGAUUAAAGACAAUCAGAACUGCAGAAAAUGAGUUAGCAAACAAGCAUGCCGCGUAUGUCUGCAAUCUGACAACUAAUGUUUUACUUUCAUUUCUGCCUUUCUGGUUAACUGAAUCACCAAAACCAACAAAAUGAACUGAUUGCUAGACAAGUUUUUCCAUAUAAUAAGAACUCCUAAUAGGAAAACGGGGGAGACCUUUAAGCAGGGCUGGAGCAAGAGUGAGCCGUGCAGACCUUGCGACGGGUACGGCGCGCAGCGUCGACGCCCGCGCUCUUCGUUGCGGGUGCGGCGGCCAUGGUCGCCGGCGCGCCGCUCCGAGCUGGUGGCCGCGGCCUUGUCAUCGUCAUCCAUCCACUGACGCGUCCGACCAGAGUAGCGGAGUAAGCGAUGGUACGAUUGAGCCUUGUGGAAGCUCGAGCCAAAUUAGGACGGGCCGUUGAAGCCAGUGGAGCCCAAGCAGCACGGAGCCCAUACAAACUAAUUUUUUUCCAGUAAAAAUGUUUGGAUGAAGCAGCGGAGGAGCAGAGAGAAGCCAUUGGAGGAGAGGCGAAAGGGAUCGCCGCCAGCCACCCACCGCGUCACCGCCACACCGCCAUGGGCUCCCUCCACAAGGUACAUUCUCUCCUGAACACUGGUUCCCCUUCGUCCAUUCAUCUAUCCUCUGGUCGAGUGAUCCUUGGCUCGAAUCGUGUUGCUAGUGGUUGGUUCUGCGAAGAAGAAGCACGCGUCUCCCUCCACUGUGAUUUUAACGCGUGGGGGUGUUCCAAAGGAUCUGUGGAUAAUUCAGUUUACAUUCGCAUUCGCGUGUCCCCUGGAAUUACUUGGUUGGACAGUUAUUGCUUGACUAGAACCUCGCUAAUCAAAUACUGAAUUCCUCAAGUAACAAGUGAGUUUUCUGUACUUUAUUUGUACUGCCAUGCAAGAGGAGCGUUAGUGUCCCUCUCCAUGUUUAAUCUCGUAGCCCAAUGUUCCAUGCAUAUUAUUAUCUUGCCCCGAUCAAGCACCGGAAACCAGUGGCAUAGAAAUUUCUUGUUCUUGCAAGUUGUAUAAAUACUUUCGUGCUAUUUCAGCCAUAUGGUGACCUCCCAGAUUUGCGUUUCAGCUUGGAUAGGAGAUGAGUACUGAAGAGACGCGCACGGCAACGGCCGAUUGCCUCGCGCCUUACGAGGGUAGAGACAGGAGGGGCGGAUCCGGACGUCGGUCGAUUGGAAGCGGCGCCCGCGAUUGGGGUAAGCAGAGAAACUACUGCACUUACUCAAACUCUUCAUCUUGCCUUCCUCUCGUCCUGCCGCUGGCUCCGCAAAACCGCAGGUGCUCUGCUCCGUGGCAGCAAUGCUAGUGUGGGUACAGAGGAGUCUGUUUGGUGCUGUGCUUGCAUGUCCUGAAACUCUCCGGUUCUGAAUUUUGAUCUUGGGUUUGAUUUUCAUCACUCAUUUGCGUGAUUUUCCUUUGACCGUCCCAGUCUGGAUCUCCGUCAACUUCGCUGAUGAUGAAAGCCUGUCUCCAAAGAGUUCCAUCUGACUAUGAAUUGGUUUUUAUUGCAAUUUUUUAAUCUCUCUGUCUUUUGCAUCAGCGUUACACACUUGCAUAUAAGUUAUAAUAGCGCUCUGUUUUUUGUAUGUUUGCAUACAAAAGGCUUCAUAUAUUGAAAGGUAACACAAGGUUGUAUGCUUUAUGAUGUCAUACUCCAUUACUACAUUGCUGAAAGUAUAGAAACAUGCAUACUUAUUAAACUAGAAAAAUAGAAGAACAUGCUUCAGAUUUAUCCUACAAUGGAGGAAUAUAAUCCUUACUAGUCUGUGGAGCUAAUUAAGGUAGUUCAUGCUUCCAUCGACACUGGAUUCUCGAUGUCCUCCUCCCUGACAGGCAUCAUCUGGGAUCUGGUCCACCCACCCAUGGAAAGAGCCCCAUCGUAAGUAGAGGAAGAGUCGUAGCAAGAGAUCAAUCCCUAUGCUGCACUACUACGUGAUGCUGAUGCUGCUUGUUUGGUGUACUCUACUUUGAUCUUCUUCAACCUCACCACCACAUCUCUUAUCGUCAUUCUCUGGUUAGGCAUGCCGCUAGAGCAGAGCAAACCCAACUCGAAUAUCGGCACAAGAAAUCCUUCAACAAGGUUGCAACUAGAAGAAGAGGAGCCUUGGAGUAGCUGGUUGUCAAUGACACUCACAAGCUCUGCAGGAAAUGCAGUGUGGACCCACUGCCUAAGAGUUAGUUCAUGCCCAAACAUAGCAUCAAUGGGUCUUUUCCUGGUGAAUACUUCAAGGAGCAUGAUCCCGUAGCUGAACACGUCACUCUUUCGUGAUGCCUUUCCAAAAGAGCCAUACUCUGCACAAGAAACAUGAAACAAAUGAAUAAAGAUGAGAUCAUGUAUCUUCACUAGUAAAUAGUCAAUGGUUUGAUAGAUUCUAGCUAAGUACCUGGUGCCAUGUAACCAACUGUUCCAGGCAUACUCGCACAUAUCAUGGAGUUGUCAUUGCCUAGAAGUAACCUUGCAAUGCCGAAGUCUGCCACAUGAGCAGUCAUGUCCAUAUCGAACAACACAUUGCUAGGUUUCAAGUCACAGUGCAGUAUCACCUCAUAGUGCUCGAAGUGUAGGUACUCCAUUGCCAUCGACACAUCGAGCAUGAUGUUGAUCCUUUCAAGAAACCCCAAGGGCAGUGUACUCUGAGACCGGUGUAGCAGCAUCUCUAAACUGCCAUUUGGCAUGUAUGGAAGCACAAGUGCUCUGAAGUCUAGGUUGGAACAUGUAUUGAGUAUCUGUAUCAGGUUGCGGUGUCGCGCCAUGCGGAGCACACGACACUCAGUAUCAAAGCUUCUCUUGGCCUGCUCCAGCUGCAUGUCAAGCACUUUUAUCGCAACCACCAAACCACUCACUUGUCCCUUGAAGACUUUCCCAAAGCUUCCACUUCCCAACAAAUUGUCCUCACUGAAAUUGUCUGUGGCCCGAAUGAGCUCAUGAUAAGAGACUAUCUGGUGGACUAUGCCAUCGGAUGGAUCACCAUCAAUUUUGACCUCACCCUCAUGCUUAUGUUUCUUUCUGAUCCACAACCAUAAGCAAAUAGCAAUACUGCCAGAAGCUACCAUGGAAGCUGGGAGUAGAAAUUUUAGCCAGUGUAUAUUAUUUGAACGAGGUCUGUCAAGACAUGGCAAAAAUCCUAGGCGUGGAGCGCCGCACAGCCCAACAUUCCCAAUCAAAGAUUUCAAUGUGAUGUUUGAGAAAACACCUCCCUCUGGUAUUUGGCCUGCCAACCUAUUGAAUGAGAGGUUCAUGGUAGUCAAGUCGGUUAAGCUUGCAAGGUAUAUUGGAAUGGAACCAGAGAGGUUGUUGAAGGAGAGGUCUAAGGAUGCUAAGCUAGUUAACUUUUGAAGUGAGUCUGGCAUCGGGCCUCCGAACAAGUUGUGCGAUAGAUUUAGGUACAUUAGCAUCUUAAGUUGCCCCAUUGAUUCUGGGAUGCUUGCUAGAAAGGAGUUAGAAGAAAGGUCCAUUUGGUAUAUUUGUAUUAACCCGGAAACAUCUGCCGGCAGUGCACCAACAAGAAAGUUAUAUGAAAGAUUUAGUUCAAUAAGUUUACCAAGGCCGAAUAGUCUUGCCGGUAUUAUAGAACUUAACUGAUUCUUGGACAGGUCCGUUUUCUCUAACUUACUAAGAUUACCCAAGCUUCUUGGUAUAGAGCCAGAAAAAUUAUUUCUUUGGAGAAACAACCGUUGUAGAUUCCAAAGCAUGCCUAUUUCUGUUGGGAUAGUGCCGAACAUGUCAUUACUAGAGAGGUCAAGCCACACGAGAUUUUUCAGUGUAGUGAUGGAUUCCGGGAUUGGCUCAGUGAGUAGGUUGUUAGAAAGAUCUAACCACUCAAGACCGCUUAUGUUUGAAAUUGUUGCCGGAAGUCCACCUACUAAUUUGUUGUAAGCUGGAGUUAAAGUUACCAAUCGUGAAGAGAGGUUUCCCAGUUGGUCAGAGAGGGCACCCGUGAAAGAGUUCACUCCUAUGUUAAUCAGUUGGACGUUUCUACAGUUACAAAGAGCUGAAAAAAGCUCCAUAAUACUUCCAUCUAAAUUGUUGUUUUGCAGGUGAAGCUCCUCUAAACUUGCAAUGUUCCCAAGUGUUGAAGGUACUGAGCCUGAUAAUUUAUUUUCUUCAAAAGCUAGGAGAGACAACAUGGACAAAUUCCCAAGAGAAGAUUGAAUUGUUCCGGUAAGUUGAUUUGUUCCAAGAUGCAGAAAGGAGAGUUUUUGCAUUAAUCCCAACUCUGGUGGGAUGUGUCCUGUAAGGUUGCAGCCAGAGAGGUCUAGCAUAGUAAGGCUAGUGAGAUUGCUAAGAGCGGCUGGGAUCAAGCCAACAAGGUUAUUUCCACCCAGUGAAAUACUUUCUAGGUGAUGUAGUUCAACUAACCACAAUGGCACAACAUCCACAAAAGAAUUGUCUGCCAAAGACAAUCCUACUAAGUAAUGAGACGAUGCAAGCCCUGAUGAAAUUCGUCCCUGAAAUUUAUUUUCGGAGAGGUCAAGCACUUGCAACAUUGGGAGGAUAAAACUUUGGUUGUCUGGAAUCGUACCAGUAAGGUUGUUGUUCGAUAAUAUCAUGAGGUCUAGCAUGGACAUGUUAUAUAUGGCUUGUGGCACUAGGCCGGAGAACUGGUUGUGCUGCAGCUGCAAGUAUGUAAGUUUGGAUAGGGAGGCUAUGCCAUGUGGUAUCGGACCUGACAUGCUGUUUUUUCCAAAGUAUAUGAAGCUCAGGGAAGGCGUGUUAUUGAAUAAAUAAGGUGGUAUCUGCCCACUCAACUUAUUAACUUCCAGAGAAAUUGUCUCAAGUUUCUGCAUACGAACAAACACCUCAGAUGGGAUUUGGCCCGUGAGUUGGUUAAAACUUAGACUAAGGAACUCGAGCCUUGUGAGGUUCCCUAUGGCAGCAGGAAUGACAUCUGACAGGCUAUUUUCAUCAAGGCUAAGAUAUCGAAGCCGACAUAGCUUGCCAAGCUCCGGAGGGAUGGAACCCGUAAGGUUGGUGCCCCUGAGAGUAAGAACAGAGAGGAAAGAGAGAUUACCAAAGUGGGGAGCAAUAGGUCCAGAAAGAGGCGUGUCUACCAAUGUUAGAGCCGUGACGCGCUGCCGCCGGCGGCUGCACGAGACACCUAUCCAGUGGCAGAAGGACGUGCCGGUCCAGCUGCCGGCAAGGACACGACGAGGGUCGGCGAGCUGGGCUUUGAAAGCCAGCAGCGCAGAGAGGUCCGUGUCGCUGCCGUUGGAUGGACUCGAACAGGAGGAAACAGAGAUGGCAGAGAGUGCUAGGAGUAGGAGGACGAUGAUGUUGGGAAUGCGGGCAUAUGACGGUGGAGCGGCCAUGGCUCGACUUGGCUGUUCAGGUGUUUAUCUUGUGAGAUCAGGAGCGGGAGCACCUGGGAAUUUAUAUGGGUUUCCCGUAGAAUCUCGUCCCGUUUUGCGCCACAGGUGUAGCAAUCGUUCCAUCAUAGUCGCCUGACAGUCUCUGCACGGCAUGGACACACCCUAGAGCUACAUGUCCGGCCUGACUCCGACCUGAGCUCAAGCCUUGACUAAUCAAAGAUAAGGGAGUGUGUUGAGCGUAGUGCAAAAGAUGUACACUAGCUACGUAUACCAAAUCGGUGAUGAUAAUAAUAUCUUUCUUCGGUGUGGUGGCAUAGACUCCUCCAUAAACAUGGUCCCAACGCGGAACUUCUCCAUUGCAAGAUAUUCACAAAGCUCGGCAAAAUCACAGUAUUACGAAAGCAAUUAUACUAGUAGUAUAUCACCAGAUUCUAUCGUGCCUGGAUAUUUAAUAUGGGUUUUCUGCAGUCACAUUUCUCUCUUCUUUUUUUAACUGGACAUUUCUCUGUUUGUUUGUCCGUCGCUGUCUUCUCUUCGGCGGUAGCUGCCUAACUCGCUUUACGGUCUCUGCAUGGGACAGGGUGCUAGUGACUCAAAUCAGUGACAGUAUGCUGGCUCGUCUCAAUCAUGUAAGGACAACUUGUGGAAAAAGCUUGGAAAAUGGACGCCACGACAAGAUCGACUUGGAGACUUGAGUGGCCAGCGCUGUACAACUUGCAGCCUUUUUUCUCCCAUAAUGGUGUACAACUUGAAGCAAUACAGUGUAGUGUUGAGUGUUGACAUCGCUCGGCAUGAGUGGUUAUAUUAGCUACUUCCUCCAUCCCAUAAUUACAUCUUUACAUUACGGGACGGAGGGAGAGUAUCUUACAAUGCAGUGUUGAUUGUUAAGUUUGGUCAUGACUCAUGAGCAGCUAGCUAGCUAACAGCCCAUUAUUCUUUACCGUUUCCCCUACCUGUGCGAUGAAAUGGUGGUCUCACCUCCCUCCCGCAUCACACCUGGGAUCAUUGCCCGCUUCUCGUCACCGCUGCCAUGACCCCUUAUUCUUUACCACUCCAUUUUCGCUUUGAAAUGGAAUGUAUCCCUAUCAAAUGGAAAGUUAAAUGAGAGCAUGUUACAUUUUUUCCUAGAAUACAGAUAGUAUGUGUUAUGUUAUGCUCCAAAUUCAAGUAUAAAGAGGGAGGCUAACUUCUGACGAGCGAGCGGAGCGAGGCCCGUCGCCGGUAGGCUCUUGUAAGCCGCCGCACGGGAUAAGUUGAUCAGUUGUAAAUCCCCGGCGUUUGUAACCUCCCCCGAUAUAGUGAAAUUUGGCUGGCUGGCGCCCGUGGUUUCCCCCCCUUCGUGUUGGAGGGGUUUUCCACGUUAAAAUCUCGUGUUCCUUGCUUGUUUUUGUUCUUCAUCGAGUUCGAUUGCGUGUCGUAUCUCUAACAAUAUGUGUAACGAAGAAGUGUCAAAGAAACCGGGAACAAGGCCUUUCACCCAUUCAACAAACACGCAUGAGAUUUUAUUUUAUUCUAAAAUUUUUUUUAGCAAAUUUAUUUUAUUGUAUCAAGGAAGAACUUAAACUUUACUGAUGCUGGAGGCCCGAUGGAGCUCAUCGAGUGUUAUGUCACCGCUCACCCCCAAAAGAAGGCUCAUGGGCGCAAGGUGCCACUGACGAUUAACUUGAGCCCUCCAUGCCUAGCUAGUGGAUAAAUCACUAAUUAUGGGGUACACUUUGCAAAUGUUACUGGUGCUAACAAGUGGCAUACUACAUAUGUGUCAAUUGUCGCAAUCUGGGAGUUUUUUCUUAUUUUGUAAAAAAAAUUCCAACAUUUUAUCUUUGAAACCAUGCGUUCAAAUCACAAUCCGUUUUCAACGUUGGAUUACUCGCGUCGAAAUCUUCAAAACUGGAUCCCAUGUUAAUAAUUUUUAAAAACAAAAACCGGAAGAAAAAAUGAAACACGGAAGCACGGUUGCGCUUUUCACUUUUUUUGAAAGAUGUGGUCUAUGUUUUUCCUUUUUGGGAAGCGCUUUUCGAGAAACACAAAUGUGCUUCUCAUAGAAGAAUAGGAUGUGCUUUUCCCUUUUUCAGGGAAGCACUCGGAAAAAACAGCUAUGCUUCUUGUGGAAGUAAGGCUAUGCUCUCACUUUUAUGGGAAGGACAUGUUGUGCUUUCUCUCGAAAGCACCGAUGGCAUAGCACAAUCGUGUUUCUCAAAGAAGUCACAAAACAAAACAAAAAUCAGUAAACCGGAUCCUAGGAAAAACCAGGAAGAAGUCAAAAGGCUAAAAAAAACACAAAGAAAAAAAAAC